Molecule: ribosomal RNA, 169 nt
Filed under: uncultured bacterium
Lineage: Bacteria
Also listed under: 1 other name
Description: partial 16S rRNA
Rfam family: Bacterial small subunit ribosomal RNA
Source: RNAcentral
CCUACGGGAGGCAGCAGUGGGGAAUAUUGGACAAUGGGCGCAAGCCUGAUCCAGCCAUGCCGCGUGAGUGACGAAGGUCUUCGGAUUGUAAAGCUCUUUUGGCGGGGACGAUAAUGACGGUACCCGCAGAAUAAGCCCCGGCUAACUUCGUGCCAGCAGCCGCGGUAAU